GGCGAUGGAGAAGAAUCUUACCUCUGAUGCCGAGAUAGGUAGAUGUGAGGUCUUCUUAAGAGCCCAUACAAGAAAGGACAAAGUUGUCCAGUAUCCUGACCUUGCUGAAAAACUAGAUGAGCUCUAUAGUAGCAAUCCUGCUUCUAGGAUGACCGGCGUGGAUGAUGCCCUUACAGAGUUGGUUGGUUCUGACAAAAGAGGGCGAAUGCGGA
Magnolia sinica is the source of this 212-nucleotide long non-coding RNA. RefSeq lists it as uncharacterized. The record is from RefSeq and is a predicted model, not a curated record. The transcript is spliced from 3 exons. NCBI's taxonomy places the organism in Eukaryota, Viridiplantae, Streptophyta, Magnoliopsida, Magnoliales, Magnoliaceae.